GCGUGAGCCACCGCACCCAGCCCGUAUUUUUUUUUCUAACAAAUACCUGGUGUUAAGCCCAAAGUGUGUGUUUCUGGUUGGCUGGUGAUGCUCUUUCAAGUCCUGAAUCAGGGACCCAAUAACUUUCAACAUUGUGGCUCAGCUCUCUUCAACAGCUGCCUCCAAGUUCUCUUGAGAUAUUGGUAUUUAUCAGAGGAGAGGGGAUGGAGAAGGUAUAUGCCUUUGCUAGAGCUGCCAUAACAAAGGACUGUAGACUGAGGGGCUUAAACAACAGAAAUUUAUUUCCUUACAAUCCUGGAGGUCGGAAGUCUGAGAUCAAGGUGUGGGCAGGGCUGGUUCCUCCUGAGGCCUCUCUCCUUGGCUUGUAGACUCUGUGUUCUCCCUUUGUCCUCAUACAGUCGUCUCUCUGUGUGUGUCUGUGUCCUCAUCUCUUCUUAUGAGGUGUCUUAGUCCAUUUCAAGCUGCUAUAACAGAACACCAUAGACUGCAGGGCUUAAACAACAGACAUUUAUUCUCCCAUUGUCUUGGAGGCUAUCUAUCUACCUAUGUAGCAUCUAUCUACCCAUCUAUCUAUCAUCUGUGUAUAAUCUACCUAUUAUCUAUCUAUCUACUUAUCAUCUACUUAUCAUCUACCUAUCAUCUGUCUAUUUUUCUAUCUAUCAUCUAUCUACCAUCUAUGUAUCUACCUAUCAUCUAGCCAUCUGUCAUCUAUCAUCUAUCACCUAUCAUCUAUCUGUCUCACCUAUCAUUUAUCUAUGUAUUUGUGUAUCAUCAUCACCCAGCUAUGAACUAUCUAUCAUGUAUGAUGUAUCUAUCAUCUAUGUAUCUACCUAUCUGUUAUUUUGGUCAAAUAUACAUAAUAUAAAACUCACCAUUUUAACCAUUUUUAAGUGCACGGUUCAGUGGCAUUAAGUGGAUUCACACUGUUAUGCAACCAUCACCACCACCUAUCUCCAGAACUUUUUUAAUAUCCUCAGUGAGAUUCUGUCCCCAUUAAACACUAACUCCUCAUGUUCCCUUCCCCCAGUGCCCAGUGCCCACCAUUGUCUCUAUGCAUUGGAUGACUCUAGAGACUUCACAUGAAUGGACUCAUAGAGUAUUAGUCUUUUUGAGCCUGGCUUAUUUUACUUAGCAUAAUGUCCUCAAGGUUGAUCUACGUUGCAGCACGUGUCAGAAUUUCCUUCUUUGUUAGGGCUGAACAAUGUCUCAUUGUAUGGAUGGACCACACUUCGUUUAUCCAUUCCUCUGCUGAUAGACACUUGGGUUGCUUCCACCUCUUGGCUACAGUGAAAAACAGUGUUACGGACAUAGGUUUACAAGUAUCUCUUUGAGACCCUGCUUUCAAUUCUUUUGAGUAUAUACCCAGAAGUGGAAUUGCUGGAUCCUAUGCUAACUCUGUGUUUAAUUAUUGGAGAAACCACCACACUGUUUUGCACAGGGGCUGCACCAUUGAGCAUUUUCACCAACAAUGCACAAAGAUUCCCAUUUCUCUACAUCCUGGCUGACACCUGCUAUUUUCUGGAUUUUGUGAAUCGUAGCCAUCCUAGUGGGUGUGAAGUGGUACAGCUUUUAUUUAACACUGAAGGACACAGCACAGCAAGAGAGAGAAAAAGUGUGUGCGCAGGCCAGCAUUGGGAUACAGAGAGACCCUUGUGCAAGAUCCCAGGGUUCGUAUUGAUGCAUGAAUUGAACCACCUAAAUAUAGUGAAGCCAUACUGACUUCACAAGUGGUUAGGCCAGUUGCAAGCCAUCAGUAAAGAAAUUGACCCUCAAGGGAUUUCUUUCUUUUUUUUUUUUUUUUUUGAGAUGAAGUUUCCCAGGCUAUAGUGGCAUGGCAUGAUCUCAGCUCACUGCAACCUCUGCCUCCUGGGUUCAAGCAAUUCUGCUGCCUCAGCCUCCUGAGUAGCUGGGACAACAAGUGCGUG
Molecule: long non-coding RNA, 1925 nt
Filed under: Homo sapiens (human)
Lineage: Eukaryota; Metazoa; Chordata; Mammalia; Primates; Hominidae
Description: non-protein coding lnc-PRKX-11:1
Source: RNAcentral